AUUGAACGCUGGCGGCAUGCCUUACACAUGCAAGUCGAACGGCAGCACGGGUGCUUGCCCCUGGUGGCGAGUGGCGAACGGGUGAGUAAUACAUCGGAACAUGUCCUGUAGUGGGGGAUAGCCCGGCGAAAGCCGGAUUAAUACCGCAUACGAUCUACGGAUGAAAGCGGGGGACCUUCUGGCCUCGCGCUUUGGGGUUGGCCGAUGGCUGAUUAGCUAGUUGGUGGGGUAAAGGCCUACCAAGGCGACGAUCAGUAGCUGGUCUGAGAGGACGACCAGCCACACUGGGACUGAGACACGGCCCAGACUCCUACGGGAGGCAGCAGUGGGGAAUUUUGGACAAUGGGCGAAAGCCUGAUCCAGCAAUGCCGCGUGUGUGAAGAAGGCCUUCGGGUUGUAAAGCACUUUUGUCCGGAAAGAAAUCCUUGGCCCUAAUACGGUCGGGGGAUGACGGUACCGGAAGAAUAAGCACCGGCUAACUACGUG
RNAcentral lists this ribosomal RNA (486 nucleotides) under uncultured bacterium. RNAcentral describes it as "partial 16S ribosomal RNA". It matches the Rfam family "Bacterial small subunit ribosomal RNA", at positions 30 to 507 of the family's 1533-position model. The record is from RNAcentral.